RNAcentral lists this small RNA (1211 nucleotides) under Arabidopsis thaliana (thale cress). Its description in RNAcentral is "ATSL149530". The record is from RNAcentral. Lineage: Eukaryota; Viridiplantae; Streptophyta; Magnoliopsida; Brassicales; Brassicaceae.
UAGAUUUUACUAAAUUACAAAUAUAUGAUUAAUAAAUGGGAAAAAUGUCAUUUAAUUCCCCAACUUUAAAAAAAUGGUUAUUUUAUACAUCAACUUCGUAUGUGCCCGUUUAAAACAUGAACUAAACGUUGACUAAUUUUUAAAACAUGAUCUUUCGUUGACCAGGCCAGAAUAGACAUGCCGUUAUCAGUCAUUAACGGAACUUUUAACGUCUGUUAUCAUCCGUUAACUUUAUUAGUCAAGUUUCAAAUUGUGGUCAUUUUAAACAUCAACUUCUUAUUUGGCCAUUUAAAACAUGAACUAAACGUUGACUACCAUUUAAGACAUGAAAAAUUCGUUAACCAGGCCAAAAUAGAUAUGUCUUUAUCAGUAGAACCUAGAAAUAAUGACUGUUAAUCUGUCCAAAACAACGUCGUUUGAGAAUAAUCGAAAGAACACAAAGAUUUUUUCCAUAUAAAAUCUCCAUAUCAAAAGUUUUAAGCAGAACCCAAGAACAUAGUUUGAUAAAGAGAUAAUCGCAGUGCCAGUAAUUGGAAGCAAAUAAAGGUGUUUUCGUUUAUAUAUUUGUUUUAAAUUUUAAAGGGAAUCAUGGAAGCAAAUUGAAGACUCAUUAUAAGAUUAUUCGUCUUGUUUGAGCGGUUGUAGAAAUAGAUUUGGGGAACUGGGGUUUCAUUUAGAAUCUUUUGAUUAUUCUCAAAACAAAGUCGUUUUAGGGAUACUAAUAAAGUCGUUAACAAGUGAUAAUGAAUUUUAUAAGUUCUUUUAAUGAAUGAUGACAACAUGUUUAUUUUGGCUUGGUCAACGAAUUUCUCAUGUUUUAAAUGGUAGUCAACGCUUAGUUCAUAUUUAAAAUAGUCACAUAUAAAGUCGGUGUUUAAAAUGGCCACAAUUUAAAACUUGACUAAUAAAGUCGUUAACGGAUGAUAACGGAUGUUAGAAGUUCCGUUAAUGACUGAUAACGGCAUGUCUAUUUUGGCCUGGUCAACGAAUAAUCAUGUUUUAAAAGUUAGUCAACGUUUAGUUCAUGUUUUAAACGGCCGCAUACGAAGUUGAUGUAUAAAAUAAUCAUUGUUUGAAAGUUGGGGGAUUAAUUGACAUUUUUCCCAUUAAUAAAUUGACUCUUAAUGUUUAGAUUAAGCUUAGAAUUAACAAAUCAACUGAUAAGAGUUAUAACAAGUUUAAGCUCUUCUUCUUCCUAAACUGAAUAUUAU